This 62-nucleotide transfer RNA is filed under the name Fukomys damarensis (Damara mole-rat). It matches the Rfam family "tRNA", at positions 5 to 66 of the family's 71-position model. From Rfam's summary of the family: Transfer RNA (tRNA) molecules are approximately 80 nucleotides in length. Their secondary structure includes four short double-helical elements and three loops (D, anti-codon, and T loops). The record is from Rfam by way of RNAcentral. Lineage: Eukaryota; Metazoa; Chordata; Mammalia; Rodentia; Bathyergidae.
GUGUAGUUUAGUGGUAGGAUGAGUGCUUCUCAUGCUUAAGGCCUGGGUUCAAUUCCCAGCAC